Molecule: non-coding RNA, 30 nt
Filed under: Mus musculus (house mouse)
Lineage: Eukaryota; Metazoa; Chordata; Mammalia; Rodentia; Muridae
Source: RNAcentral
UUCCCAGAGUUCCUUGGUGUGCAAUAAAGU